GGUUUUUGGGAUUCUAAAAACAUGAACAAUAUUUCCCCAUCUUUACCAAGUCUCUUCCGGUCUUACAUCCGAAAUUUGUGUAUCACAGCUAAAAUUAGAAACUCAGCUACCAUGUGGUCUACAGAAUUGCUUGGUGAUGUGAUUGGAGAA
Molecule: long non-coding RNA, 150 nt
Organism: Tachysurus vachellii
Lineage: Eukaryota; Metazoa; Chordata; Actinopteri; Siluriformes; Bagridae
Exons: 3
Source: RefSeq, a predicted model, not a curated record